GCGUAUGCAAUCUGCCUUUCACAAAGGGAUAGCCCAGAGAAAUUUGGAUUAAUACCUUAUAGUAUAUUGAUGUGGCAUCACAUUAUUAUUAAAGAUUUAUCGGUGAAAGAUGAGCAUGCGUCCCAUUAGCUAGAUGGUAAGGUAACGGCUUACCAUGGCUACGAUGGGUAGGGGUCCUGAGAGGGAGAUCCCCCACACUGGUACUGAGACACGGACCAGACUCCUACGGGAGGCAGCAGUGAGGAAUAUUGGACAAUGGGCGCAAGCCUGAUCCAGCCAUGCCGCGUGCAGGAUGAAGCA
Molecule: ribosomal RNA, 300 nt
Filed under: uncultured Flavobacterium sp.
Lineage: Bacteria; Pseudomonadati; Bacteroidota; Flavobacteriia; Flavobacteriales; Flavobacteriaceae
Description: bacterial SSU rRNA
Rfam family: Bacterial small subunit ribosomal RNA
Source: RNAcentral